CCUACGGGUGGCUGCAGUGGGGAAUAUUGGACAAUGGGGGCAACCCUGAUCCAGCCAUGCCGCGUGUGUGAAGAAGGCCCUCGGGUUGUAAAGCACUUUCAGUGAGGAAGAACGCCUGGUGGUUAAUACCCAUCAGGAAAGACAUCACUCACAGAAGAAGCACCGGCUAACUCCGUGCCAGCAGCCGCGGUAAUACGGAGGGUGCGAGCGUUAAUCGGAAUUACUGGGCGUAAAGCGCGCGUAGGUGGCUUGAUAAGCCGGUUGUGAAAGCCCCGGGCUCAACCUGGGAACGGCAUCCGGAACUGUCAAGCUAGAGUGUAGGAGAGGAAGGUAGAAUUCCCGGUGUAGCGGUGAAAUGCGUAGAGAUCGGGAGGAAUACCAGUGGCGAAGGCGGCCUUCUGGACUGACACUGACACUGAGGUGCGAAAGCGUGGGUAGCAAACAGGAUUAGAUACCCGUGUAGUC
This 465-nucleotide ribosomal RNA is filed under the name Vreelandella stevensii. RNAcentral describes it as "partial 16S ribosomal RNA". It matches the Rfam family "Bacterial small subunit ribosomal RNA", at positions 338 to 795 of the family's 1533-position model. The record is from RNAcentral. Lineage: Bacteria; Pseudomonadati; Pseudomonadota; Gammaproteobacteria; Oceanospirillales; Halomonadaceae.